GCGGAAGUAGCUCAGUUGGUAGAGCAUAACCUUGCCAAGGUUAGGGUUGCGGGUUCGAGUCCCGUCUUCCGCUC
Molecule: transfer RNA, 74 nt
Filed under: Parabacteroides distasonis
Lineage: Bacteria; Pseudomonadati; Bacteroidota; Bacteroidia; Bacteroidales; Tannerellaceae
Description: tRNA-Gly(gcc)
Rfam family: tRNA
About the family: Transfer RNA (tRNA) molecules are approximately 80 nucleotides in length. Their secondary structure includes four short double-helical elements and three loops (D, anti-codon, and T loops). Further hydrogen bonds mediate the characteristic L-shaped molecular structure. tRNAs have two regions of fundamental functional importance: the anti-codon, which is responsible for specific mRNA codon recognition, and the 3' end, to which the tRNAs corresponding amino acid is attached (by aminoacyl-tRNA synthetases). tRNAs cope with the degeneracy of the genetic code in two manners: having more than one tRNA (with a specific anti-codon) for a particular amino acid; and 'wobble' base-pairing, i.e. permitting non-standard base-pairing at the 3rd anti-codon position.
Source: RNAcentral